GGCAGUUCUCGGGCGACGCACCCCGGAAUUGGGCUCCCUCCUCUCUGGUUCUGGGUGUCUCACCCAAGAAUGAAGCU
This is a non-coding RNA of Myotis davidii, 77 nucleotides long. The record is from Rfam. Lineage: Eukaryota; Metazoa; Chordata; Mammalia; Chiroptera; Vespertilionidae.